Molecule: long non-coding RNA, 603 nt
Filed under: Amborella trichopoda
Lineage: Eukaryota; Viridiplantae; Streptophyta; Magnoliopsida; Amborellales; Amborellaceae
Description: long non-coding RNA (ATRI_LNC001591)
Source: RNAcentral
UUCUUGACUUCAAACCAGCCAGAACCCUGAUCAUCCCCAUCUGCUCCAUCAUUUGCCAUUACCAGGUGAUCAAUGAUCUAGUCUCUGGAAAAUUUUCCAUAAACCCAAAAAUCAGUAAAAAAAAAAAAAGGACAUUAAAUAAUUAAAUAUAUAUGAAUUGAGAACUUCAGAGGAUACAACCAACUGUAUAUUCAUUUAAAAAACUGGGUUUUUCCAAUAAAUUGAUCGGGUCUUAAGCUAAAAUGCUGGUCUUGUUGAAUCUUAUCACGUCAGGGAUAGAUUGUGAUAAAUUAUACAGAAAAAGUAAUUGGGUUUUUUUAAGAAAAAAUUAAAAAUAAAUGAUGCAUUUACUUAUUGCUUAAAUCCGUGCAUUUAAGCAUGAGUCUGAGAUUUUACCAAAAUAAAAAGGGGUUUCUAUAAAAAUAAAACCAUUUUACGAAAACAGAAUGAUGAAAUUUACACAAAUACCUCUAAAUUACUGGAAUUCUUGCAUUAGGGUUCAUAUAUAACACAAUGAUUCCUAUAAUUGGGUGCUCAUUAUAUAAAAAAAAAGAGGGAAAUUGAGGCGGGAAAUAAGGCCUGCAUUUUCACACCCGAGUGAAG